GCCACCUGCUGGUUAUAAGCCUUUACCAAAGGAGGCAAAAAUUCCAGUACCUAUCAAAGAACAUCCGGGGUACAAUUUCAUUGGUUUGAUUUUUGGUCCUGCUCAUAAGCAACUGGAAAAGGAAACUGGAGCUCAAGUGAAGGUUUAUGGUAUUAAAGCAGAUACUGGAGAGAAGGUAGAAGUUACCUCUGGUGAAAAUGACUCUAGUGCUUUUGAGGAAAUGCAUGUCCAAG
Molecule: unclassified non-coding RNA, 233 nt
Filed under: Hevea brasiliensis (rubber tree)
Lineage: Eukaryota; Viridiplantae; Streptophyta; Magnoliopsida; Malpighiales; Euphorbiaceae
Source: RNAcentral